This 73-nucleotide transfer RNA is filed under the name Danio rerio (zebrafish). It matches the Rfam family "tRNA". From Rfam's summary of the family: Transfer RNA (tRNA) molecules are approximately 80 nucleotides in length. Their secondary structure includes four short double-helical elements and three loops (D, anti-codon, and T loops). The record is from Rfam by way of RNAcentral. Lineage: Eukaryota; Metazoa; Chordata; Actinopteri; Cypriniformes; Danionidae.
GCCUGGCUAGUUCAGUCGGUAGAGCAUGAGACUCUUAAUGUUAGGGUCGUGGGUUCGAGCCCCACGUUGGGCG